CUUGGAUUGAAGGGAGCUCUA
This 21-nucleotide microRNA is filed under the name Oryza sativa (Asian cultivated rice). RNAcentral's name for it is "osa-miR159f". Its record names the gene osa-miR159f. The record is from miRBase by way of RNAcentral. Lineage: Eukaryota; Viridiplantae; Streptophyta; Magnoliopsida; Poales; Poaceae. RNAcentral also lists the same sequence under 2 other names.